UAAUAAGUAAUAACUGUUGUUAGAAGAAAACCCAACCUAAACCUAAUUGCGAAUCACAGAGGAGAGCGUGAGCAACGAGCUUCUCCUCCAGUGGCUUCUUCUCCUCUAUUAAUGCGAGCUUCUCCUCUAUUCUUGUGAGCUUCUCUGCCAUUGAUGCGAGCUUCUCCUCUAUCGAACUUCUGCGCUCUAUGUUGUGUGAGCUUCUUACCCUAGCUCGUCUUCUCCGUGUUCGUUCUCACUUUUAGAAUUCAAAAACGACAUCGCCGCUGCUCUGCGAGCUUCUCCUCCAUCAAUGAUUCUUCCCCUCCAUCGAUGUCAUGUCCAUCAAUGCUUCUCCUCUGAUGGUACAUUUGCUUCCAUUGAUGCAAUUUGCUAGGUUUUGAUUUUCUUCCUUGUUCAAUUUAUUUUUAGGAUUGCACGUUAAUAUUUAGAUAGAGUAUCAAAACAAAAAGACAAGUUGAAGAAACACAGUGCACCGGGAGAUUCCAGAAAGGAAGCCCAAGCAGCGCUGCUCAUAUUGCUGCAAUCAUUCAGUACUUUAUCAUCAGUGGAGGUAGCAAAGCAAGAACUGCUGGAAAUUCAGGAAGGAAAAAGUAACCUCAAGGCUAAGGAGCCACUUCUUCAAUGCAUUCAUGCUUACAGGGAGGGAGCAAGAUGAAUACGAGGUUGUGAGGAAGGUGGGAAGAGGGAAAUACAAUGAGGUCUUUGAUCUGAGGGCGUUCACUCCACCGAUAAUGAAAAAUGCAUCAUCAAGAUCCUCAAACCCGUCAAAAAGAAAAAGAUGUCGCAGAGUCAGAGUAAGAAACUGAUGCCGAAUCUGGAUAGGCAGAGCACCAAGGUGCUGAAUCUCACCGUCCUCCAGCGCUUCAAUCCCUUCAUCGCCGAGAUUCUUUUCACCGCCGCUCAUGUCUCUUUCUACGAAUUCAACAUUGAAACUAAUCAGUGGAGUCGUAAGGACGUCGAAGGAUCUCUAUUUGUUGUCAAGAGGAAUGUGCAGCCUCAGUUUCAGUUCAUUGUCAUGAAUCGACAAAAUACAGUGCUUGAUUUAUUAUUUCCUCAUUGUUUGGAGAAAUAUAAAUGUACUAGUGCUCUGCUCUCAUUCAUCUGUGUGCCUGAUUUGUGCUAUCAGUUUUCUGAUUUACAACUUUCUUUGUAAUAUUUGUUCUGACAAACAACCUAGUAGAAAAUCUAUUGGAUUUUGAGUAUGAACUUAAAAAGCCAUACCUAUUAUAUCGAAAUGCGGCUCAAGAAGUUAAUGGUAUAUGGUUUUACAAUGAAGAUGAAUGUGAAGAAGACAACAUCUUAAAUGGUUUUGCGGUCAUUUUGGUAGAACUGUAUCCCUGUUAGAAAUUUGCAAUUUAAAUUAAAACAUUGUUCACUAUUUCUUACUUUUACCAAACUAUUUUCAGCUGGCCUAUAUAAGUGGUUGUCAUGUGACAAUGGAUUUAAAAUUCCCAUUCCAGUUAGAAUAUUAUGAACUAUAAAGGGAUUUUCCUUG
Molecule: non-coding RNA, 1498 nt
Organism: Arachis ipaensis
Lineage: Eukaryota; Viridiplantae; Streptophyta; Magnoliopsida; Fabales; Fabaceae
Source: RefSeq, a predicted model, not a curated record